CCCUCCCCACUGCGCCCCACUCUUUCCACAACGGGCAACCUUACAGUCCAGCCUUCUGGUCAGCGACAAGGGGUGCUGCAUGCCUGUGGGACCAGCUGUGGUGUCUGCCCUUUUCUCUAGCAGUACUUAGAUCUAAAGUGGUCUGCUCUGGGUUCCUUGGAAUUAAGCACUGUCUUUGCUUCUCCCACCUCCCCAAAGUGGUUUUUUUUACAAAGUUUGAUUACAAAGGUUUUUUGUUGUUGUUUCAUUUUUGUUUUGUUUUGUUUUGUUGUUUUUUUUUUAACAAGGUUUGAUUUACAAAGUACCAGUUCAGAGCUAGGUUUCCUGAAGCAAGGACUGAAGGGCAAGACUGGCUGGUUUUCUUGCUCUGUUCCCUCUAGGGCAGGUUUAGGGAAAGGAGAACACAGUACCUGAAAAGGAGACUAUGUUCCCAUCCUAGAACUAAACGGACAGGAUUGAGGACUAAUUUAGAACACGUUUAAACCCAGCAUUCAGGAGGCAGGCCGAUCUCAUGAGUUCAAGGCCAGCCUGGUCUAUAGAGCAAGUUCCAGGACAGCCAAGGCUAUACAGAGAACACCUCACCCCACCACCCCCAAAAAAUAAAACAAAAGAAGAAUUUAGGAUCAUUAGCCUGUAUUGUAGAGGUAAAUCAGGUGGCUGCUGAAGUUUAUAAGUAACUUUAUCUUUAAGUCUCUAGUUUGCCUUUUCCUGAGGAACCAGUAAAAGCUUUUGGAGUUCAGUAUGAUCAGCCGACUUCAAUCUGUAAACAUUCUGGAGAGAAGCUGAACUAAAUAUAGGCAGCGAGUCUGGACCCUUAGAAAGCCUCUGAGCUGCAGCAGGUUACCAGAAGGACAUGGUAUAGACGAGGGCGGGUCAGGGAGCAGUCCCUGGGGCUGUGACACAGGAAGGUCGGUUAGGUGGAGCAGAGGGCUUCAGCCUGCUGUUACAUAUCGCUCCUGCCAUCACCAUCACCAGAGUCAGCUUGGGGAGGACUGAGAGAGAUAAAAGUAGAGACGGAUGAGACCUGGAGAUGGGCAGAGAAUGUAGAAGUCCAAGAUGGGGAAUUGCUGGGGCUGUAAGAGUCACCAGGUAAAGUUCUUGGUUGGGACCAAGAGGGGUCCUUGGAUGGAGGUUAGGACCAAGAGGGGUCCUCUGUGAUGUAGCAAUGGUUAACCUGGUAAUACUUAUUUGAAUAUAUACUUUUAUAUUUGAAAAUUACCUGUUAUUUUAUGUUUUUGCCCCAACUUACAGGAUGUGAUUUUAUGUUUCUGGGUCGUUGGAACAGAGUUUACCAUCAGCCCUACACUUUGAGAUGUAUAAUUUACCUGUUGUGAUCAUCCUCCACAUGAGUGUCUCUUACUUACCGUGCCUGUACAGGAAGCCUCGGGGCCAUCCCAGAGCUUUCCGUCCCUGGAACCAGAAGAGCAGGAGGACUUCAGAGUUUCCUCUCCUGCACAGACUACAAUGGGGAGCAGCCGCCACUGCAGACUUGUGACCGUUUCUUCACUGGCACUUUUCGUGGCGCUUUGAGGAGUUCUGUGUGAAAGGCAGUGGCGUCCUUCAUGAGACGAUACUGGGGGCAGACACUCAGAGCGUUAUAGUCGCCCUUGAUGUCAGCUCCUCCAAGACAGACCACCAUGUAUUUGUGCAAAUGAGCCUGGGUGCUGAAAUCACUACAGAAGAGGUUAAAGGCCAGAGGGAAGAGGUCCUGAGCUUUCUCACUGGCGCCACCCGUGUUUGGGCCGCAGGCACUGCCACAGAGAUCGUGGGUGUCGCUGGAAAGAAGGAAGACCACCUUGUCCGCCGCCUGCUUCUGCGCGCUGAGCCACUGCACUGGGCCCAUCUCAGCUAUUCUCUUCCUCUGCCACUUUUCAAGGAUGACCUCGCUCCUGCAGUGGGUCUGAAGAAAGUCGGUGAAGCGGCAGACCGUGUGAAGGAAACACACCUCAGACGGGUAAACCACCAGGACCUUAACGAGGGGCAGGAGCAUGCUGGUGGCAGGGAAGGAAGUCUCCGUGCUCCUGCCUGUGGGGGGAGCUUUGUUAGUUACCAGCAAAUAGCAGGCCUUUACAGUAGUCUAAACCGUCAGUGAGAAAUGUCAGCAAGGGUGGCAAUCUGUUCCUGCCAGAGGAAUAAUAGCCCCCAUAGUCAUUUUGAACACCUGAAACACUGAUUCUUAAAUCUUCACAGCUUUUUAAAAGAUGUGCUUUCUAAGCCCCUAUCACUAAGUCAGCCGCCAGAGACCAGCUCUGUUUUCAGAUCAACUCAGAGCAGCUGUUUAGGCUUGAGGGCACCGGUUUGAAGCCAACUGUUGAAAAUUUCUGUACUUCGACACAGAUGUGACCUCUUACAUGUCAUAUCAGGAGUUGGGUCAACUCUGUGGUCUAUUUUCUACCUGCAGACAGUAGAGUUCCUUUAUUUUGCUGUAAAGUUAAGCCCCACACUGUGCUACGCAACGAGACUUAGGUCCAAAGCUACUAUAGCCCUGUAGCUAACGGCGCCAGCAGCAUCUUCUAAGUGCAGGGAUUCCCGAGAUGAAAUUUCGUUCAUGUGGCUUUCUGAGCUUAAAGCACAGAGUUAAUCUUCUGCCAAGACACAGGAGCAACUCACAGUACACUAAGACCUCCUUUUUGGCUCUUUGAGACAGGUUCUCGCUUAGCUUAAGCUGGCCUUGAACAGUAACCUCUGGGGGCUGUCCUUGAACUCCUGUCCCACUUCCUCCUCCUCCCAAGGGCCUAGACUGCAAGGUUUCUGUCGCCACACCUAGCUAGAUUCCCUUCUCUGUCCAGGCAGGUGGGGAGGAUCUCAGGGUAUCUUCAGAGUGACCGCCCUUACCUUGCCUCCGAGUUAGGUAGAUCCCAACUACCAGCACCCAUGUAGCCACCAGCAGCACCAAGAUGAGGGGCACCCAGCCUCCCAGCAUGCUUCUGUCUGCAGGAAACAGCUUGGUCACCUUUAGCAAGCAAAGCUGCACUUGGCCUCUACUUGCACAUGGAUUUUUUUUUUACUCUUCUUAGUGGGGUCUUAGACCUUUUCUAACCAAGGGCUAGAUGGUCUUUAGGGGGAUGCUGAUUAAGGGUUCUUUCCCAGGAUUCAGGUCUCUUUCAAAAAAUGUAUUACUGUGUACUAGAAAGAUGGCUCGGCCACUAAAGGCUAGGCUCACAACCAACCACUGAAAGUAUAACUGUGGUGGGUGUGAAUGCAGGCACACAAUGCCAGAGUGUGUGUGAAGGUCAGAGGACAACAUGAGGUCAUUUCUUCUGUCCUUUCACGAUGGCUUCCAGGGCUCAGACCCAGGUUGUAAGACCUUCCUAGCAAGAGUGAUCACUGAGUGACCUCACCAGCCCUCUCCUCCCCAGAGUCUCAGCAGGGAAUUAGGGGACUUUCUCCAAACUCAAAUUUCUUUUCACUGUUUCAAAUUUCAUUCAACCAGGGUUUGAAUGAUGACUUUUGUUGUCUGGAGAAUCUUUGUUCCUCAGGAAGAACUUACAAACAUAAUGUACACACAGCAGUGUGCCCACAUAGAAGUCAGGGCCUGCGGGAGUAGCUAUCUAAAGUUUGGCUGGCUGUUUUUUGUCUUUUGUAACCCAUGGGCUAGUUUCAGAACAUCUGUCCAUUGUUAAUAAAAAGAACUGACACAUCUCUAAAUGCAGAGACAUUUUCCAGAACAUGCUCUCCGGCACCAGGAAGGCAUGUUUUGGUGCCAGUAUUCCUGAUUUGUUAACCAAAUAGGAUUCAGAGAGAAUUGGAAUACCCCUCGUGGACUCAGCCCCUGCUCACACCAACCCCUCAUGCCCCUCACACCAGCUCCUGCUCACACUGGCCCCUCACGCUGGCCCCUCAUUCCCAGUAACUCUUUUCAUUGUCUGCGGCACUUCAAACAACCAUCUUGCGCUCUUUAUUCCCCCUUCUGUAUAUUCUGCUUUUGAAAAGAUAUUGUGUUUGUAAUUAGAUCCUUUGUUCUUACUUGCUUAUGAGAUCUCUGGGGUAGCAGAGGUAUUGUUCACGGUACACCGGCAGGGACCUCGUAAUGCCCCUCCAAGACACAGAACAAUCUGUUACAUCUCAAAGGGGCCCUGUGUGUCCUGAGCCUCUCCGAUCAUCCCUCGGUAAUGACUGGUACUUACUGUUGUCUGGCGGGUAGGGGCCACUUGUGUCUAUACAAAGCCCAACCAGUCCUCUGCGUCGGAUGCAGUCAGGCAUACAGGUGUGGAAAUAUGGUAUCAGCUGAGGAAAAGGAGAGGAAGACUACAGUGCUCACACUUCCAGCACAGCCCUUUCCCCUUCUGAAAUGUGAUUUUCACCUCAUGGCAUUGGCAUCAACAGUUUCCCCCUUGUUUCCCCUUCUGUAGCCACAGAUCCAAUCUGGGGACUCCGGACCAAGACACUGGCAAUGCCCCAGCGAUGCCCUUGAACUUUGUUCACUUUAUAGCCACGGAGUUUUCCUUAUCUGAUAGGGCGGCUACAUCCUAAUAAACAUACAAAUCUCUCCCCUGGACCACAGUAGGUAAGUGACCCAGCACUAGGGCAGUCCACGACUUCCCGGAAGGUGCAGGUGCUGUCAUGCCAGGGUCCACUUUCUUGGUCAUCCUGAGCGCUGCAUGUUCGAGGGAGUGGAGAAUGGCUCGCGGGCACCGUCAUGGACUGUGACCCUCUGUGUAUCCAUGUUGUAGACUACAGGGACCUGAGUACCUACCCUUCCAACUUCCUGUUUCCUCCUGGGCCAGCUGAGGCUCCCAGAAGGUGAACAGCUGCUCUCCUAAGUUCAGACACUGACCUGGACACUGGACAGCCUUCCAGCUUCAACCCAUUCGGCUUCACUUCUGAGUUAAAACUGAGGCUUUGGGGAAAUAAAAUGACUGUCCCAUCUCAGAAUUACUCUGAGAAUCCAGGACUGAAAAUAAAAAUAAAAGCCCUUUGGGAAGUCAACAGCCACCCACCCAAGCAAAGGCACCACACCUGUGGCAUCAGCUUUCACUCUUGUAGACGCUAAAGAGUCCCCGACACCCAGCUUGAUGGGGGAUACUGGGGGGAAGCUUGCCAUCCUUAAAAUGCAUGUGGAGGGCUUGUGUGUAUCAAUUGCUGAACACUCACCUAUAAUUCAAGAAGUCCUAGGUUCGACCCCUAGCAUCCCAUGAAGACAUACAGAAAGCAUCCAUGGUGGAGCAAACAGCUCUGUCGUGGCCCUCCCUUUGCAGACCGCUAUUUAACUCACCUCGACCUCGGUACCUUCACUUUCCUCGUUCACCGAAAUGGCCACAGACAUCCGUGUCAGUUUAUUCUGGUGCAGAUAAGUGAGAGACAGUCAGAGCUGUAGUCACGAGUGAGUAGACAGAGAGUGACGAAGCCACUGUUCCUAACUGACUUCUGGUGCGUCAGACUAUGUGAAGAAGGACUCACGUCAGAAGCCUCAAACUUCUGUCUGUAGUUGGCUUUAGACUCAUCAUCCAUAGGAUGCCUACAGGGAUUUGGACCACAGAUAGCUCUGGGAUCUCUUGGAAGAAAACCUAUUCAAAGGAUUCUAAAAUGUCUCUACUUCAAGAUACUGAAGUAUCUGGGGUUGGGAAUGGGGUGGUAAUAAAGGGGUGAAGGGGAAAAUACCUCCUCCACAAGAGACCACCCCAGUUCUCCUUGGUUUUGUAGAAUGUUAACCCUGUAGCUUUCUCCAAGGGAAUUGGCUGUAAAAUUCACUUCAACCGUCGUCUCGUUCUUUUUACAAGCAGUGAUAUUUGGGUCCCACAGGCUUCCUACAAGUUGAGAGAGAACCACAUGGGUGACCCCUCCCUUAUCUGAGUCCCCAAGGGGGCUUUCCAGAAACAAAUCUAAAUCCUAAGAGACAUGGACUCAACUAUAGUAUAUCUUCCGACACUAUUCCCAGAAUUGCAAAGUAUCUGAUUUCUAAGAAAGUUUAGGGACACCCCUCUCAUGCCAUUUGCUUUACUAAAAAUAGCUAGGAAUGGAAGUUACAGAUCAAAGUCUACAACUCAGUUCAAUGUUCACCCUACAUUUUGAGGUAAGAGAGCUAGGACCUCUGUUUCCUCCUUUCUGGGAUAGAGGAGGGACAUCAGUUUAGGAGGAAUGCCCCAGAAUAUGGAGUAAGUGAACUGAGGCUCAGAGCUUACAGACAGGCUGUCAGCAUCACUGGAUACAAGGAAGGAAAUGUCACACAGCUUACAGGAAUCAGUUGUCUCGCUCAUGUGACUUGCAAAUAAGACUGGGCAAAUUUCCAGGAACAUGUCUAUAUAAUAGCACAAGUUGGCUCUCUGCUGAUGGGACCAGUUCGGCCCCUGGCUGGGAGCUGGUUCUUGGAGUGGGUUGGAGGAGGACGCAUUCUAGGUCCUGCAGCUCAUAACCUUAGAGCCUCAAAAUUCUUUGAGAGUGCUCUCUUGGUGGGAAUAAAGAUCCCCUACCCCCAGCCAAUAUCUCUAACUUCAUUAGCAUCACAAGACUAUACUGCCCCAAAGUUUAUACUCACCCAUAGAAAUUGGGAUGAGGCACUGACUUAUCCUAAAGCAACUCCAUCACAGAUCAAAGAAUUUUCUGCGAAUAGGAGGUAGUCUUUUGAGAAGGCCUCCAGGGCCUUACUUGAACCAACACUUGACCAUGUUUGUUAAUCCAAACAGAAGGUACCCAGAGCCUCCACUGACCACAGGUCAGUUGUAAUAAGCAGGUGUAAAGGCUAGUGGGGCUCUCCUCCAAUCACAAAGCACUUUCCAUGAGCAUGCUGUUAAGUGGGGUUUGGGAUAUCCCUUGGGUUUAGCCAAGGGAUAGGGUGGUUUCCUGUAGCAGUUGCUGCUCUAGUAAACCCAAGAGUCUGUCCCAAUCUAGAUAGCUGCUUAACCCAAGGCAGGCCUUCACUGAGUGGCUUAGACAGAGAACUUCCAUCUCCACAUCUUAGUUCCUUUAUCUAUCUGCGGCUGAAUGGAGCUCCAUGGGUCCCAGUUAGGAGGAUCUCUAACUGAGGAAAGCGAAAUGCUACAUCUACUUACCUGCCUCAAUGCACCGCUUUUUAUAUUUCAUUACAUUGUUUAGGCAGCCUGGGAAUUUGAAUGAAAGUUGUUACAUUUGAGUAAAAGGUAUCUCUACUAUAACCCCUUUCCCAGUACACACACACACACACCACAUACACUCUCUUCAGACAUGAGAGAGAAGUCAGGUCUAGAAAUCAUUUUACAGUUAAACAGAAAACCAUUCACCCGUGGAGGCUGUAAGUAAUCUCAUUUUAAGCACAGCCUUUAUCUAAAUGAUCACCGAGAAGUGA
Non-coding RNA from Myodes glareolus (Bank vole), 7261 nucleotides. The record is from RefSeq and is a predicted model, not a curated record. NCBI's taxonomy places the organism in Eukaryota, Metazoa, Chordata, Mammalia, Rodentia, Cricetidae.